Molecule: long non-coding RNA, 308 nt
Organism: Apis dorsata (giant honeybee)
Lineage: Eukaryota; Metazoa; Arthropoda; Insecta; Hymenoptera; Apidae
Exons: 2
Source: RefSeq, a predicted model, not a curated record
UUUCAUGUCACUAACAAUUAUACGUAUACGUAUAUAUCGCAGUUGGUCUCGAGUUGUAUUUAUAACGAAUAAAUAUUAAUCUUACGAAAAAGUGUUUUUCUUUUUUCUUUUUGUUUCAAGAGUGUAAAAACGUUUCAAGAGUUAAAAAACGUUGAAAAGAAUUUUGCAUAAUUUUCCUUUACAAUUUCAUCAUUUCAUCAUUAUUCUUAUUUUACAUUUCUCUAACGUGCGAUAACUAGUUCGCGAUUGGUUCCCAGUCACUAAGAGUUAAAAAUAACCAUAUAUUUUUUAUGCGAAGGAAAAAAAAA